UACGUAGGGUGCAAGCGUUUAAUCGGAAUUACUGGGCGUAAAGCGUGCGCAGGCGGUUAUGUAAGACAGGUGUGAAAUCCCCGGGCUUAACCUGGGAACUGCAUUUGUGACUGCAUAGCUAGAGUACGGUAGAGGGGGAUGGAAUUCCGCGUGUAGCAGUGAAAUGCGUAGAUAUGCGGAGGAACACCGAUGGCGAAGGCAAUCCCCUGGACCUGUACUGACGCUCAUGCACGAAAGCGUGGGGAGCAAACAGG
RNAcentral lists this ribosomal RNA (254 nucleotides) under uncultured bacterium. Its description in RNAcentral is "partial 16S ribosomal RNA". It matches the Rfam family "Bacterial small subunit ribosomal RNA", at positions 524 to 776 of the family's 1533-position model. The record is from RNAcentral.